Molecule: long non-coding RNA, 408 nt
Filed under: Citrus x clementina
Lineage: Eukaryota; Viridiplantae; Streptophyta; Magnoliopsida; Sapindales; Rutaceae
Description: Citrus clementina (C. clementina) long non-coding RNA (CCLE_LNC001580)
Source: RNAcentral
AUCUAUUUAAUAUGAAAAUAUAUAAAUAUAGAUUAACAGUCGUCGGAUUGCCGCUGCUACUGUCACUGCUAUAUGCAGUCUCACAGUUGGUGACGUUGGAUCGCCGGCUGAUCAACAAGAUCAUUAUAUUGUCAUUAAGGUCAAAAAAUCGAUGUAUGUUGUUCAAAUGCAAUUAAAAACUUUUAGAAACAUUUAACUCUCACAAAUCCGAAAAAAUAUCAAAGUUUUUGGCUAGAUGAGUUCACCCAUUAUAAAGAGCAUGAGUUUUUUUUUUUUUUUUUUUUUUUUUUUAUCAUUUUCAUAUCAUUCAUGAGCUUACAUGAGACACUGCGCAGCGGCCGGCUGCAAGUAUGGGGGCCGGCUACAAUUGCUUUUUUUUGUUCUUUAAAUAAAAAUUUAAAAUUAUAA